ACUCUUGAAGGAAGUAUCAGACUGACACUAGAUCUCAUUCUAAUUGGGAUAUUUGGAGGCUUAUUCAUUGUUCCACUCAAUGCAAUGGUGC
RNAcentral lists this transfer RNA (91 nucleotides) under Cellvibrionales bacterium UBA7375. RNAcentral describes it as "tRNA-Pyl(cta)". The record is from RNAcentral. Lineage: Bacteria; Pseudomonadati; Pseudomonadota; Gammaproteobacteria; Cellvibrionales.